Molecule: ribosomal RNA, 255 nt
Filed under: uncultured bacterium
Lineage: Bacteria
Description: partial 16S ribosomal RNA
Rfam family: Bacterial small subunit ribosomal RNA
Source: RNAcentral
UACGGAGGGGGGCUAGCGUUGUUCGGAAUUACUGGGCGUAAAGCGCACGUAGGCGGCUUUGUAAGUCAGAGGUGAAAGCCCGGAGCUCAACUCCGGAAUUGCCUUUGAGACUGCAUCGCUUGAAUCCAGGAGAGGUGAGUGGAAUUCCGAGUGUAGAGGUGAAAUUCGUAGAUAUUCGGAAGAACACCAGUGGCGAAGGCGGCUAACUGGCCCCAUUACUGACGCUGAGGCUCGAAAGCGUGGGGAGCAAACAGG